This 135-nucleotide long non-coding RNA is filed under the name Struthio camelus australis. RNAcentral describes it as "lncRNA (ENSSCUG00000013679.1)". Lineage: Eukaryota; Metazoa; Chordata; Aves; Struthioniformes; Struthionidae. The record is from RNAcentral.
CCCACGUCUACCUUGUCACAAUGAUAAAAUGCAAACCUCCUUAAUAUCUAUCAUCAAAAAAAUAACGGUAUGCAAGGAGUUUGACAUGAGAAUAGUCUGAGGACUCUGCCUUCCACUGCAGAUAUUGAAAGCUGG